This 3848-nucleotide unclassified non-coding RNA is filed under the name Monomorium pharaonis (pharaoh ant). RNAcentral describes it as "carbohydrate sulfotransferase 5, transcript variant X1". Lineage: Eukaryota; Metazoa; Arthropoda; Insecta; Hymenoptera; Formicidae. The record is from RNAcentral.
CGAGCGAGCGAGAGAGAGAGAGAGAGAGAGAGAGAGAGAGAGAGAGAGAGAGAGAGAGAGUUUCGUUGCAUUUGGCGUAUGAUAAAGAGCGUGGCCACCUCUUUUUUCCUCCUCCUCCUCCAGCUCUAGUUUCCCUCCUUCUCGUCUGCCCCCUCGCGGUUACGAAUGCUUAUCGUAACGCGUAAUCGCCGUGAAGCGGAAUGGGGAAGCAGAUUUCACGCGUCCGCCGCACUCGGCCGCGAGGAAGUGCAGCCGACGGACGUAUGGUCCGUUCGAAACGGCAUCGUCGUCGUCGUCGUCGUCGUCGCCCUCCUCACUCCUUCCGAAUGGAGCACGCGUGCACGUGUGCGAUCAAAACCGCAAACACGCCAAUCCCGCUACUCCACCCUCCUUACGAACGGUUCCCGUUCGGAAAGAGAAGUGAAUCGUAAUUAAUAAGCCGCGAAUUCCGCGAAAAAAAGAGCUGUAAAAAGAGGCGAGAACUUCGCCGUGUGUGACACGUUCAAAAUUUGACGGUGCAAAGUGCACCGACGAGGCGAUCGCUCGCGGCGAUUCCUGCGCGGAGUAGAACUAAUUUUUUUUCCAACUUCGUUGUUAUGCCUUGUUGCGACAACGCCGGUUGCAAUCAGUUGCCGGUCACACGUGCGAGAGGGAUGUUCUUCGACGGCGAACGAUGGCGAGGCCUGUUCAUCUAAAGGCAGCGGAUUACAUUUCGCGGAAGUGCCUGCGCUUCCUAGGAUUAAGGAUGUCGAAGCGGCUGAGCUUUUACGGUCUGGUAGCCCUGGCGUCCAUCUGCAUCUUCUUCCUAGCGUUCAACCAGCGUUACAGCAACUAUCUCGAGCACCGGCUGCAGCCGAUGAUAUCGGAUGUUGAGAUAAGGCCGCGGACCACCAAAAUCCAAGAGCCCGUAACAAUAAGCCAGGCGUACAUUACGGGAUCUGCAGAAAAUGCCACGAUCACUGAAAUUCAGGAGGUCAUCGAUCAACAGAGGAGGGCGAUCAAAAAGGACAUGGAAAAUUAUGAAUAUCCAAAUGGAAGAUAUGAAAUAAAUGUGAGCAAACUUGAAGAUCUAGUGAUGGAGAAGGGCGGUAGACCAAUGAGAAGCAUAAUUCUGACGAGUUGGAGAAGUGGCAGCACGUUUCUCGGCGAUGUAGUGAAUGCGCAUCCGGCCAAUUUUUAUCAUUACGAACCAUUGCUCGACUAUGGAAUUGUGCAAAUCCGAGACCCGCCGCUAGCCGACGAAUCCUUGACAAGGAUUAUCUCGCUAUUGAAUUGUGAAUACAAAGAGCUCGAUCGGUACCUGGAUUAUGGGAAGACUCAUCCUUGGGUAUUCAAUCACAACACGCACUUAUGGCGACAAUGUCAAGCACACAAACGCAUUUGCUGGGAUCCACGUUUUGUCUCCAAAUUUUGUCGACUUUUUCCGUUCCAAUCGAUGAAGCUUGUACGAUUGAGGUUACAUGUGGCAGAGAGUCUUUUGGCCGAGGAAGAUUUAGGUAUACGACUAGUUCUACUCGUCCGAGAUCCCAGGGGCAUUCUGCAAUCCAGAAAACACAGAGAAUGGUGUCCCGCUAAACCCGACUGCUCCGAUCCGGCUUUGGUCUGUGCCGACAUGGUAUCGGAUUUCAACGCAGCGGUAGAACUGUCGAAAAAAUAUCCACGUUCUUUCAGGGUAGUGCGUUACGAGGACCUAUCUGUGGAUCCCUACAGACACGUGAAAGAGCUUUACAAUUUUUACGGCUUGAAUUUUCACGUGAACGUCAAGAGAUUUCUGGACACGCACACAAAGAACGACGUGGGUGGAGUAUCGAGCACCUUCCGCAAUUCUAAGGUUGCGCCAUUUCACUGGCGAGCCGAUCUAGAUUUUGAGGAGGUUCAGGAGAUACAGAAGGUAUGUGCGACCGCCAUGCGAUUAUGGGGAUACGUGAUGGCCUUAAAUUCCACUCACCAAAAAGACUUCGAUCCUAUCACAAAUUACCGGCUUCAAUUAUGACAGCUGGCAGACGACAUGCUCAAUGUAGAUAUGAUGUACAGUAUAUCGGUAUAGUGACACGGCAGUGCGGUCGAAAGUGCCGUAAUUCAUAUAUAUAUAUAUAUAUAUAUAUAUAUAUAUAUAUAUAUUCAGCGAAAGGUGCUAGUACGGUCACUCAGGAAGGUAGCCACGUAACGGGAAUAAAUGCAGUUUUAUUCAAACCAGGAAAUUUGCAGAAUGCCGAAUUUUUAACUUUAUGACACCGGUAACAAGGCUACUUCUUUAAAAGAAGACACAGACGGAUAUAUUUGUGACUUUUAUAUGAUUACAAACAUGAUCUAAACCACAGGCUGUUAAAUUCCUGAGAGCUUGACAUGCGACACAAAUUAUGUCUAACCAUAUCGACAAAAACGUUGCAGAUGCACUCCAAACGUUUCUAAAUAUUGUGAAUUUCUCGAGAGAAAGAAAAGGUAGUUUAUAAAGAGAUUUGUAAUGAUCAUCGGAUCUCAUCAUAUUAUCUUUUUACGUCUUCAAGUAUUCUACACAUAUAAGAUAAAAUUUUUAUAUCGACCACGGAAGACAAGGUGCACCUACUUCUCUCCCCUAUUCUUGGAUUCAUACAAAUUUAUCGUUAAAAACAAGAGGCGACUAAAUUUUAUUUUUUAUCUUAUUGAUUGAUCAAGAUACAUAAUAUUACUACAUUACGAACGUAGAAAUAUAUUCACAUACAAAACAAAGAACGUUUGUCAAAUAUGGAAUAUAUUAUGUCUAAUGAUAGAUUUUAUAUCCAUCGAAGGAAAACUUGAAUCUCGUAACGUUGGGGUCGUGUCUUGCAAUUGGUAGUGUGUUGAGAAUACAUAUUUAUUUCCUGCGUUUGACGGAAAAUUUCCACCGAUAUUUAAUGUGAUUCACGAAAGGAACAAGGUACGAGCAUGAUAUCAAUUAGCUCGUUUAUGCUAUGGAACACUCGAUCUUAUCUCUUGCUCAUGUAGUGACGUCCGGUCCGAAGAAACAGUCGGGUGGUGUAUGUCAAGGACAAGAAUACACGAGUUUCCAUUUCACCGGCCUUUGAUGCAUGGCCGACGACGAAUUAUAAGAAUUAUAGACGCGACCAACUUGCCCGCGAAUGCGCGUGAUUUUUAUAAUGUACGACAUGGUCGUAAUAGAACUGCACACUUUAGAUAGAAGUAUUACUGUAAGCUGUUUAUUGGCGAUUUAGAGUAAGAAUAAGAAUACUUUUUUGAGACUUUACACGCUACAUAUUGAUUAUCCUGGAACAGCUUGACCUGACUGGCGCACUGUUAUGUAUUAUAGUGUAAUUAUGUUAUACAUUAUACUUACGAUUGUAUUCCUCUCGCGUCCUUGUGUUAUGCACCGAGCGCCAGAUUACCAUCAGCUCUCUGUAUGUGAUCAAUCGAAUCUUACCACGCGUUCACUUAAAAUCUAUAAGCGUAUUUUGUGUUAUUAAAUAUUAUAUAUAAUAGAGUUUGGAUGUUGGGAAACCGAGAUAUUAUGGCUUUGUACGCCUCCCUUUCGUUUUAUUGGAUGACAAUUAACUAUGCAAAAUGCGGAUCCCAAUUAUUUACGUUGUUUCAUUGUCACUUUCGGAUGACACAAAGAUCAACAAAAUGAAUGUGAUGUUUCUCGUACGUACGGAUGAGAUUUUACGUGAUAGCGUUACAUACAACAUUGCCGAGUCACUCGAAAUACUCGGAUUACUAAUACAAAUUCGAUAACAUCUUCGUGUAAUUUUAUGCCGUUAUCAUGUACUAUUUCUCGCGGAAUGGGUAUCUAGUCCAAGAGGAACACUCAUUACUUCGUAUUUUGUACUCUAGAUGUAAAGGUUCUCCAAUAAAAGAAACACAUUUGUAUGAAA